Molecule: ribosomal RNA, 477 nt
Filed under: uncultured organism
Description: partial 16S ribosomal RNA
Rfam family: Bacterial small subunit ribosomal RNA
Source: RNAcentral
UACACUCCUGCGGGAGGCAGCAGUGGGGAAUUUUGGACAAUGGGGGCAACCCUGAUCCAGCAAUGCCGCGUGAGUGAAGAAGGCCUUCGGGUUGUAAAGCUCUUUUGUCAGGGAAGAAACGGUGGUGGCGAAUAACUACUACUAAUGACGGUACCUGAAGAAUAAGCACCGGCUAACUACGUGCCAGCAGCCGCGGUAAUACGUAGGGUGCAAGCGUUAAUCGGAAUUACUGGGCGUAAAGCGUGCGCAGGCGGUUGUGUAAGUCAGAUGUGAAAUCCCCGGGCUCAACCUGGGAAUUGCAUUUGAGACUGCACGGCUAGAGUGUGUCAGAGGGGGGUAGAAUUCCACGUGUAGCAGUGAAAUGCGUAGAUAUGUGGAGGAAUACCGAUGGCGAAGGCAGCCCCCUGGGAUAACACUGACGCUCAUGCACGAAAGCGUGGGGAGCAAACAGGAUUAGAUACCCCUGUAGUCCCAUGA